GGUGCCGUGGCAGAGCGGCCCAUUGCGAUCGACGUGGUGGAGGUUCCCGCCACGUCGACUGAGGGGGGUACGGCGGGCCUGCCCGCCCCCGUCCGCGGGUUCGAAUCCCGUCGGCACCU
RNAcentral lists this transfer RNA (119 nucleotides) under Streptomyces sp. SID5474. RNAcentral's name for it is "tRNA-OTHER". It matches the Rfam family "tRNA". From Rfam's summary of the family: Transfer RNA (tRNA) molecules are approximately 80 nucleotides in length. The record is from RNAcentral. Lineage: Bacteria; Bacillati; Actinomycetota; Actinomycetes; Kitasatosporales; Streptomycetaceae.